GGAAGUAAAAGUCGUAACAAGGUUUCCGUAGGUGAACCUGCGGAAGGAUCAUUGACGAGCUAGCGAAACAUUGUAAACAUGUUGAGAUGUUGCCCAAGUACGUGGGGUGCGUGUAGAUGGUCGCAAGGGCGUCGGCUCCCACCCCACUCGCUCCCUCGUCCGUGAGGAGGCGAAGAUAACCAUCCCAUGGUGCACGCGGUGUGCCAAGGAAACAAAGUGUGGGGUUGGCUUAGACCUCCCUUCCGGGCGUGUUCAGCGUCCCUAUUUUUACGACUCUCGGCAACGGAUAUCUCGGCUCUCGCAUCGAUGAAGAACGUAGCGAAAUGCGAUACUUGAUGUGAAUUGCAGAAUCCCGUGAACCAUCGAGUCUUUGAACGCAAGUUGCGCCUGAGGCGAUCUCGCUAAAGGCACGCCUGCCUGGGUGUCACGCUAUUCGCCGCGCCCCUCCUGAUCCACGUUCGGGAUGGGAGCGUUGUUUGGCUUCCCGUUUGCGUCCGCAAUGACGGCUAGCCUAAAUGAAUCGUGUCCGGCACUUACAACUGGACGCCUCGUGCCCUGGUGGUCGCCGCGUACGGCUGCUAAGGUCGAGGCCCCGUUGAACUGUUGGGGCAUGCUAGACCAACCCCGGUGGCGUUCCACGAGUUUUCACGUGCGUCGCCUGCUUUCGCGACCCCAGGUCAGGCGGGAUCACCCGCUGAGUUUAAGCAUAUCAAUAA
RNAcentral lists this ribosomal RNA (716 nucleotides) under Utricularia cucullata. RNAcentral describes it as "eukaryotic LSU rRNA". The stretch from base 272 to 427 matches the Rfam family "5.8S ribosomal RNA". The record is from RNAcentral. Lineage: Eukaryota; Viridiplantae; Streptophyta; Magnoliopsida; Lamiales; Lentibulariaceae.